GCCCAGGUGGUGAAAAUUGGUAGACGCAGGGGACUCAAAAUCCCCCGCCGCAAGGCGUGCCGGUUCGAUUCCGGCCCUGGGCA
Molecule: transfer RNA, 83 nt
Filed under: Candidatus Paraburkholderia calva
Lineage: Bacteria; Pseudomonadati; Pseudomonadota; Betaproteobacteria; Burkholderiales; Burkholderiaceae
Description: tRNA-Leu
Rfam family: tRNA
About the family: Transfer RNA (tRNA) molecules are approximately 80 nucleotides in length. Their secondary structure includes four short double-helical elements and three loops (D, anti-codon, and T loops). Further hydrogen bonds mediate the characteristic L-shaped molecular structure. tRNAs have two regions of fundamental functional importance: the anti-codon, which is responsible for specific mRNA codon recognition, and the 3' end, to which the tRNAs corresponding amino acid is attached (by aminoacyl-tRNA synthetases). tRNAs cope with the degeneracy of the genetic code in two manners: having more than one tRNA (with a specific anti-codon) for a particular amino acid; and 'wobble' base-pairing, i.e. permitting non-standard base-pairing at the 3rd anti-codon position.
Source: RNAcentral